This 253-nucleotide ribosomal RNA is filed under the name uncultured bacterium. RNAcentral's name for it is "partial 16S ribosomal RNA". It matches the Rfam family "Bacterial small subunit ribosomal RNA", at positions 524 to 776 of the family's 1533-position model. The record is from RNAcentral.
UACGGGGGGGGCAAGCGUUGUUCGGAAUUACUGGGCGUAAAGGGCUCGUAGGCGGCCAACUAAGUCGGAUGUGAAAUCCCCAAGCUUAACUUGGGAACUGCAUCCGAUACUGGAUGGCUUGAAUCCGGGAGAGGGAUGCAGAAUUCCAGGUGUAGCGGCGAAAUGCGUAGAUAUCUGGAGGAAUACCGGUGGCGAAGGCGGCAUCCUGGACCGGCAUUGACGCUGAGGAGCGAAAGCUAGGGGAGCAAACGGG